AACUAUAAAGAAAAUAUAAGCUGAAUCUAAGAUUAUUAAAAACAUUUAAAUUGAGUUUGGUUCAAUAAUUUGGUCAGGCUUGGAUUACCAUACAUGCAAAAGUAAACUAUCAAGUAUUUGCUAUAACCAGAUCCAAUGGUGUGUGUGUGUGUACAAGCAAUGUAUUCAUGUAGAAUUUGAUGCCAUGACAAAUCACAAUUUCCCAUAUAACAACAAAAUUGUUCAACUGUACAAUUUCUUCAAACAAAGAUUCUAAGCAAAUGCAGAGAACGAGAUAGCAUAAGCACAAAAGCAGAAAGGAGAAAGCACAUAUAAGAACCAACCUCCCUUCCAUCACCAAAAGGCGAAUGACCCACCACAAAACAAACUGCCAAGGUAGUGUGAUCUUGUCCUCGGAAGCUGAAUCAAAACCAAAUCAAUGACGCUCAAAUUUCGUAAGGAUUCAUGGCCUCUCUUUCCCCCUUUCUCCAUCACAAAAUCAAAGCUCUUCCUCAGCCAAAAAAAAAAAGAACAAAGAAAAA
Molecule: long non-coding RNA, 521 nt
Organism: Magnolia sinica
Lineage: Eukaryota; Viridiplantae; Streptophyta; Magnoliopsida; Magnoliales; Magnoliaceae
Exons: 2
Source: RefSeq, a predicted model, not a curated record